Molecule: unclassified non-coding RNA, 253 nt
Filed under: uncultured Enterobacteriaceae bacterium
Lineage: Bacteria; Pseudomonadati; Pseudomonadota; Gammaproteobacteria; Enterobacterales; Enterobacteriaceae
Description: contains 16S-23S intergenic spacer region
Rfam family: Bacterial small subunit ribosomal RNA
Source: RNAcentral
UCCGGAGGGUGCAAGCGUUAUUCGGAAUUACUGGGCGUAAAGCGCACGCAGGCGGUCGGGCAAGUCGGAUGUGAAAUCCCCGGGCUCCACCUGGGAACUGCAUCCGAAACUGGCAGCCUAGAGUCUUGUAGAGGGGGGUAGAGUUCCAGGUGUAGCGGUGAAAUGCGUAGAGAUCUGGAGGAAUACCGGUGGCGAAGGCGGCCCCCUGGACAAAGACUGACGCUCAGGUGCGAAAGCGUGGUGAGCAAACAGG